RNAcentral lists this small nuclear RNA (125 nucleotides) under Mus spicilegus (steppe mouse). Its description in RNAcentral is "U11 spliceosomal RNA (ENSMSIG00000020910.1)". It matches the Rfam family "U11 spliceosomal RNA". The record is from Rfam by way of RNAcentral. Lineage: Eukaryota; Metazoa; Chordata; Mammalia; Rodentia; Muridae.
AAAAAGGGCUUCUGUCGUGAGCGGCACAUGCAGGGCAACUCGAUUGUUCUGCGUGCCGAAUCGACAUCAAGAGAUUUCGGAAGCAUAAUUUUUUGGUAUUUGGGCAGCACAAAACUCAAGCUCCU